This 253-nucleotide ribosomal RNA is filed under the name uncultured bacterium. RNAcentral describes it as "partial 16S ribosomal RNA". It matches the Rfam family "Bacterial small subunit ribosomal RNA", at positions 524 to 776 of the family's 1533-position model. The record is from RNAcentral.
UACGGGGGGGGCAAGCGUUGUUCGGAAUCACUGGGCGUAAAGCGCACGUAGGCGGCUCUUUAAGUCAGGGGUGAAAUCCUGGAGCUCAACUCCAGAACUGCCCUUGAUACUGAGGAGCUUGAGUCCGGGAGAGGUGAGUGGAACUGCGAGUGUAGAGGUGAAAUUCGUAGAUAUUCGCAAGAACACCAGUGGCGAAGGCGGCUCACUGGCCCGGUACUGACGCUGAGGUGCGAAAGCGUGGGGAGCAAACAGG